AUUGAACGCUGGCGGAAUGCUUUACACAUGCAAGUCGAACGGCAGCACGGGGGCAACCCUGGUGGCGAGUGGCGAACGGGUGAGUAAUACAUCGGAACGUGCCCAGUCGUGGGGGAUAACGUAGCGAAAGUUACGCUAAUACCGCAUACGAUCUACGGAGGAAAGCGGGGGACCGUAAGGCCUCGCGCGAUUGGAGCGGCCGAUGUCAGAUUAGGUAGUUGGUGAGGUAAAGGCUCACCAAGCCGACGAUCUGUAGCUGGUCUGAGAGGACGACCAGCCACAUUGGGACUGGGACACGGCCCAGACUCCUACGGGAGGCAGCAGUGGGGAAUUUUGGACAAUGGGCGCAAGCCUGAUCCAGCCAUUCCGCGUGCAGGACGAAGGCCUUCGGGUUGUAAACUGCUUUUGUACGGAACGAAAAGGCUCUGGUUAAUACCUGGGGCUCAUGACGGUACCGUAAGAAUAAGCACCGGCUAACUACGUGCCAGCCGCCGCCGUAA
Molecule: ribosomal RNA, 500 nt
Filed under: uncultured bacterium
Lineage: Bacteria
Description: partial 16S ribosomal RNA
Rfam family: Bacterial small subunit ribosomal RNA
Source: RNAcentral